RNAcentral lists this ribosomal RNA (253 nucleotides) under uncultured bacterium. Its description in RNAcentral is "partial 16S ribosomal RNA". It matches the Rfam family "Bacterial small subunit ribosomal RNA", at positions 524 to 776 of the family's 1533-position model. The record is from RNAcentral.
GACAGAGGGGGCAAGCGUUGCUCGGAAUUACUGGGCGUAAAGGGCGCGUAGGCGGGAUGGCAAGUCGGUCGUGAAAUCCCUCGGCUCAACUGAGGAGCGUCGAUCGAAACUGCCGUUCUUGAGGGUUGCAGAGGAGACUGGAAUUCCCGGUGUAGCGGUGAAAUGUGUAGAGAUCGGGAGGAACACCGGUGGCGAAGGCGGGUCUCUGGGCAACAACUGACGCUGAGGAGCGAAAGCGUGGGGAGCGAACAGG